UGGGGAAUAUUGCACAAUGGGCGAAAGCCUGAUGCAGCAACGCCGCGUGAGUGGUGAAGGUCUUCGGAUUGUAAAGCUCUGUCUUUUGGGACGAUAAUGACGGUACCAAAGGAGGAAGCCACGGCUAACUACGUGCCAGCAGCCGCGGUAAUACGUAGGUGGCGAGCGUUGUCCGGAUUUACUGGGCGUAAAGGGUGCGUAGGCGGAUGUUUAAGUGAGAUGUGAAAUACCC
This 232-nucleotide ribosomal RNA is filed under the name uncultured bacterium. RNAcentral's name for it is "partial 16S ribosomal RNA". It matches the Rfam family "Bacterial small subunit ribosomal RNA", at positions 355 to 604 of the family's 1533-position model. The record is from RNAcentral.